RNAcentral lists this ribosomal RNA (895 nucleotides) under uncultured Staphylococcus sp. RNAcentral's name for it is "bacterial SSU rRNA". It matches the Rfam family "Bacterial small subunit ribosomal RNA", at positions 41 to 916 of the family's 1533-position model. The record is from RNAcentral. Lineage: Bacteria; Bacillati; Bacillota; Bacilli; Caryophanales; Staphylococcaceae.
GGCGUGCCUAAUACAUGCAAGUCGAGCGAACAGAUGAGAAGCUUGCUUCUCUGAUGUUAGCGGCGGACGGGUGAGUAACACGUGGGUAACCUACCUAUAAGACUGGGAUAACUCCGGGAAACCGGGGCUAAUACCGGAUAAUAUUCUGAACCGCAUGGUUCAAUAGUGAAAGACGGUUUCGGCUGUCACUUAUAGAUGGACCCGCGCCGUAUUAGCUAGUUGGUAAGGUAAUGGCUUACCAAGGCGACGAUACGUAGCCGACCUGAGAGGGUGAUCGGCCACACUGGAACUGAGACACGGUCCAGACUCCUACGGGAGGCAGCAGUAGGGAAUCUUCCGCAAUGGGCGAAAGCCUGACGGAGCAACGCCGCGUGAGUGAUGAAGGUCUUCGGAUCGUAAAACUCUGUUGUUAGGGAAGAACAAAUUUGUUAGUAACUGAACAAGUCUUGACGGUACCUAACCAGAAAGCCACGGCUAACUACGUGCCAGCAGCCGCGGUAAUACGUAGGUGGCAAGCGUUAUCCGGAAUUAUUGGGCGUAAAGCGCGCGUAGGCGGUUUCUUAAGUCUGAUGUGAAAGCCCACGGCUCAACCGUGGAGGGUCAUUGGAAACUGGGAAACUUGAGUGCAGAAGAGGAGAGUGGAAUUCCAUGUGUAGCGGUGAAAUGCGCAGAGAUAUGGAGGAACACCAGUGGCGAAGGCGGCUCUCUGGUCUGUAACUGACGCUGAUGUGCGAAAGCGUGGGGAUCAAACAGGAUUAGAUACCCUGGUAGUCCACGCCGUAAACGAUGAGUGCUAAGUGUUAGGGGGUUUCCGCCCCUUAGUGCUGCAGCUAACGCAUUAAGCACUCCGCCUGGGGAGUACGACCGCAAGGUUGAAACUCAAAUGAAUUGACGG